RNAcentral lists this ribosomal RNA (186 nucleotides) under uncultured Bacteroidota bacterium. RNAcentral's name for it is "uncultured Bacteroidetes bacterium partial 16S ribosomal RNA". It matches the Rfam family "Bacterial small subunit ribosomal RNA", at positions 120 to 306 of the family's 1533-position model. The record is from RNAcentral. Lineage: Bacteria; Pseudomonadati; Bacteroidota.
UGCAACCUACCUUAAUCAGGGGGAUAGCCCGAAGAAAUUCGGAUUAACACCGCAUAAAAACACAGGAUAGCAUUAUCCAAUGUUCAAAUAUUUAUAGGAUUAAGAUGGGCAUGCGUGUCAUUAGCUAGUUGGCGGGGUAACGGCCCACCAAGGCGACGAUGACUAGGGGAUCUGAGAGGAUGACCC